UCGCAUUUUACCAUAAACAUGCUUCCAAAUGUGGAAAUGUUUUUAUGAAAUGUUUCCAAAAAAAAAAACAUUUUACAUUGAAACAUUGUGUUGUUUUGUUCCCUUCUCCCUUUUGUUGUUCUUACCCCCUCUUUUUCUUUCCUUUUUUCCUGCUUUCUUCUCGUGUGCCUGGCUUUGUUUGUGUGUUUUAUGCGUGGGCUUUGUUUUCUUUAGGUUCAGAGCACUGUUCCUGCAUCUUCUUCACGGCAACUAAUUUUUGGUUCAUCCAACUUUUCUAAAAUUAUUAUUUAAAAUAAAAAACAGCACUAUCCUUACCUUACACACUACAGUACAUGCAUAAUAAAGAAUUAUACUAAUACGUUCCCCCACCUGAAAUAAAGGCAUAACAGUCACUUCCUUAUUUAGAUA
Molecule: long non-coding RNA, 408 nt
Filed under: Androctonus crassicauda
Lineage: Eukaryota; Metazoa; Arthropoda; Arachnida; Scorpiones; Buthidae
Source: RNAcentral